AUACGGAGGGUGCGAGCGUUAAUCGGAAUUACUGGGCGUAAAGCGCGCGUAGGCGGUUUGGUCAGUCGGAUGUGAAAGCCCUGGGCUCAACCCGGGAAUGGCAUUCGAUACUGCCUGACUAGAGUAUGGUAGAGGGAAGUGGAAUUUCCGGUGUAGCGGUGAAAUGCGUAGAUAUCGGAAGGAACACCAGUGGCGAAGGCGACUUUCUGGGCCAAUACUGACGCUAAGGUGCGAAAGCGUGGGGAGCAAACAGGAUUAGAUACCCGAGUAGUCC
This 274-nucleotide ribosomal RNA is filed under the name uncultured bacterium. RNAcentral's name for it is "partial 16S ribosomal RNA". It matches the Rfam family "Bacterial small subunit ribosomal RNA", at positions 523 to 796 of the family's 1533-position model. The record is from RNAcentral.